CAACGCUGGCGGCGUGCCUAACACAUGCAAGUCGAACGCGAAAGCCCCGCAAGGGGUAAGUAGAGUGGCAAACGGGUGAGUAACACGUGGGUGACCUGCCUUAGAGUGGGGGAUAACGUCCCGAAAGGGACGCUAAUACCGCAUAACAUCCUGCCUUUGAAGAGGUGGAGAUCAAAGCCGGGGACCGCAAGGCCUGGCGCUUAAAGAGGGGCCCGCGCCUGAUUAGCUAGUUGGUGAGGUAAUGGCUCACCAAGGCAACGAUCAGUAUCCGGCCUGAGAGGGCGGACGGACACACUGGGACUGAGACACGGCCCAGACUCCUACGGGAGGCAGCAGUGGGGAAUUGUUCGCAAUGGGCGCAAGCCUGACGACGCAACGCCGCGUGGAGGAUGAAGACCUUCGGGUCGUAAACUCCUUUCGAUCGAGACGAACAGCCAUCGGGUGAAUAAUCCGGAGGUUUGACGGUACCGAGAGAAGAAGCCCCGGCUAACUCCGUGCCAGCAGCCGCGGUAAUACGGGGGGGGCAAGCGUUGUUCGGAAUUACUGGGUGUAAAGGGCUCGUAGGAGGCCAACUAAGUCAGACGUGAAAUCCCUCGGCUUAACCGGGGAACUGCGUCUGAUACUGGAUGGCUUGAGUUCGGGAGAGGGAUGCGGAAUUCCAGGUGUAGCGGUGAAAUGCGUAGAUAUCUGGAGGAACACCGGUGGCGAAGGCGGCAUCCUGGACCGACACUGACACUGAGGAGCGAAAGCCAG
RNAcentral lists this ribosomal RNA (753 nucleotides) under uncultured soil bacterium. RNAcentral describes it as "bacterial SSU rRNA". It matches the Rfam family "Bacterial small subunit ribosomal RNA", at positions 31 to 763 of the family's 1533-position model. The record is from RNAcentral.